GUCUCAGUUCGGAUUGUAGUCUGCAACCCGACUACAUGAAGCUGGAAUCGCUAGUAAUCGCGGAUCAGAAUGCCGCGGUGAAUACGUUCCCGGGUCUUGUACACACCGCCCGUCACACCAUGGGAGUCGGAAAUGCCCGAAGUCAGUGACCCAACCGUAAGGAGGGAGCUGCCGAAGGUGGAGCCGGUAACUGGGGUGAAGUCGUAACAAGGUAAC
Molecule: ribosomal RNA, 216 nt
Filed under: uncultured bacterium
Lineage: Bacteria
Description: partial 16S ribosomal RNA
Rfam family: Bacterial small subunit ribosomal RNA
Source: RNAcentral